UGGAGUGACUGGUUUUUCAGCGACACAUUAAUCCUGUUUCCUGCUCGGCUCCAGCGACUCCUUUCACUUUGACAGCGGCAGUUUGGAUAGUUGUGUCGGAGUCUGGGGUCUUUAUCUGUGAGUGGAGAAACUCACUGAUCAACAGCACAGGAUUUGCAGUCUGGAGAUGUUGCUCAGAGGGACGAAGAAACGCAUGAAGAAACGCACCACAAAGAAGCUCUGAACGUGAAAUCCUUGAAGAGAUUUUCUCUUAUCUUUGUUUGCACUUGAAAGUUUUUCAAGAAGCAGCACUCUUUUCCAGUGGUCACUGAAAUAUUUCUUUGAGAGUAAUGAGUGAUGGCUCUUCAGGAGAUCAGUGUGAUCUUUACACACAGACCCUCGGCUUUCUCUGCUGCUGUGCUGCUUCUAACACUCGUCCUCUGCAGAGAAUCAAAGCCUGAGAAGACAGAAACAAUUCAGCAACCUGGAAAUGUUCAGACGCCGGAUCAGAGUGAAGAUACCAAAGAAGCAGGAAUUUCUUUCUCAGGCCGGCUAGCAAUCGUCUGGGCUGUAUUCAUCUGUAUCUCUCUGAUCUCAUGGGGAUUUAUGCUUUAUCAGAAUUGCAAAGAACCCACCGCCUCAAGCAAAACCAGGAAGUUAAUGAGGAAGAAGCUCUCAGCAGGUGAAACUUCUAGCUCAGACUUAUGACGACAACAACAGCUGGAAGUUGCAGAUCUCAGACUGUGAAUCGAAACUCUUUAUAACACAUCAUGGCAAUAAACCAGAUUUGAAGUCUUCAGUUUGAUGAUGUUCAGUAAGUUGGCGUUGAGAACAAACAGAGGGGGAAAACACCCAACAUAAAAAAGAGAGAAAAGAUUUGAAUUCAGGGCUUCUGUCCAAUAUUGAUAUCCUUCAACUCAUUUGAAAUAUAAAUAUCAUGAGCUGUUAAAAAACCCAGAAUGAUUUGAAUUAAAGUUAAAGGCAAGUAGAAAACAAUAUUAACGGGAUGGGGCUUCAUGUUUUGUUUAAUAAAGUCUUGUUAUCAUUUUCAUUCACA
Haplochromis burtoni (Burton's mouthbrooder) is the source of this 1036-nucleotide long non-coding RNA. RefSeq lists it as uncharacterized. The transcript is spliced from 6 exons. NCBI's taxonomy places the organism in Eukaryota, Metazoa, Chordata, Actinopteri, Cichliformes, Cichlidae. The record is from RefSeq and is a predicted model, not a curated record.